RNAcentral lists this ribosomal RNA (1333 nucleotides) under uncultured bacterium. Its description in RNAcentral is "bacterial SSU rRNA". It matches the Rfam family "Bacterial small subunit ribosomal RNA", at positions 28 to 1382 of the family's 1533-position model. The record is from RNAcentral.
GACGAACUCUGGCGGCGCGCCUAACACAUGCAAGUCGAACGAGAGAUGAGGAGCUUGCUCUUCAAAUCGAGUGGCGAACGGGUGAGUAACGCGUGAGGAACCUGCCUCAAAGAGGGGGACAACAGUUGGAAACGACUGCUAAUACCGCAUAAGCCCACGGCUCGGCAUCGAGCAGAGGGAAAAGGAGCAAUCCGCUUUGAGAUGGCCUCGCGUCCGAUUAGCUAGUUGGUGAGGUAAUGGCCCACCAAGGCGACGAUCGGUAGCCGGACUGAGAGGUUGAACGGCCACAUUGGGACUGAGACACGGCCCAGACUCCUACGGGAGGCAGCAGUGGGGAAUAUUGCACAAUGGGGGAAACCCUGAUGCAGCGACGCCGCGUGGAGGAAGAAGGUCUUCGGAUUGUAAACUCCUGUUGUUGAGGAAGAUAAUGACGGUACUCAACAAGGAAGUGACGGCUAACUACGUGCCAGCAGCCGCGGUAAAACGUAGGUCACAAGCGUUGUCCGGAAUUACUGGGUGUAAAGGGAGCGCAGGCGGGAGAACAAGUUGGAAGUGAAAUCCAUGGGCUCAACCCAUGAACUGCUUUCAAAACUGUUUUUCUUGAGUAGUGCAGAGGUAGGCGGAAUUCCCGGUGUAGCGGUGGAAUGCGUAGAUAUCGGGAGGAACACCAGUGGCGAAGGCGGCCUACUGGGCACCAACUGACGCUGAGGCUCGAAAGUGUGGGUAGCAAACAGGAUUAGAUACCCUGGUAGUCCACACCGUAAACGAUGAUUACUAGGUGUGGGAGGAUUGACCCCUUCAGUGCCGCAGUUAACACAAUAAGUAAUCCACCUGGGGAGUACGACCGCAAGGUUGAAACUCAAAGGAAUUGACGGGGGCCCGCACAAGCAGUGGAGUAUGUGGUUUAAUUCGACGCAACGCGAAGAACCUUACCAAGUCUUGACAUCCCUUGACGAUGCUGGAAACAGUAUUUCUCUUCGGAGCAAGGAGACAGGUGGUGCAUGGUUGUCGUCAGCUCGUGUCGUGAGAUGUUGGGUUAAGUCCCGCAACGAGCGCAACCCUUAUGGUCAGUUACUACGCAAGAGGACUCUGGCCAGACUGCCGUUGACAAAACGGAGGAAGGUGGGGAUGACGUCAAAUCAUCAUGCCCUUUAUGACUUGGGCUACACACGUACUACAAUGGCGUUAAACAAAGAGAAGCAAGACCGCGAGGUGGAGCAAAACUCAGAAACAACGUCCCAGUUCGGACUGCAGGCUGCAACUCGCCUGCACGAAGUCGGAAUUGCUAGUAAUCGUGGAUCAGCAUGCCACGGUGAAUACGUUCCCGGGCCUU